GGUCCUGUGGUCUAGUGGUAUGAUUCUCGCUUAGGGGUCGUCACGUGACUUAAAAUCAUGUGACUCUAAGCACAUUUGCGAGAGGCCCCGCGUUCGAGUCGCGGCAGGACCC
This 112-nucleotide transfer RNA is filed under the name Cucurbitaria berberidis CBS 394.84. RNAcentral describes it as "tRNA-Pro". The record is from RNAcentral. Lineage: Eukaryota; Fungi; Ascomycota; Dothideomycetes; Pleosporales; Cucurbitariaceae.